AGAUACAAAACCCGGGAUCGAACCAGGGACCUUUAGGUAUUCAGUCUAACGCUUUCCUAACUGAGCUAUUUCGGC
Molecule: transfer RNA, 75 nt
Filed under: Cordylochernes scorpioides
Lineage: Eukaryota; Metazoa; Arthropoda; Arachnida; Pseudoscorpiones; Chernetidae
Description: tRNA-Phe
Source: RNAcentral